UACGGAAGGCAGCAGUGGGGAAUAUUGCACAAUGGGCGCAAGCCUGAUGCAGCCAUGCCGCGUGUAUGAAGAAGGCCUUCGGGUUGUAAAGUACUUUCUAGUCGUGAGGAAGGUGUUAAGGUUAAUAACCUUAGCAAUUGACGUUAGCGACAGAAGAAGCACCGGCUAACUCCGUGCCAGCAGCCGCGGUAAUACGGAGGGUGCGAGCGUUAAUCGGAAUUACUGGGCGUAAAGGGCACGCAGGCGGUUAAUUAAGUUGGAUGUGAAAUCCCCGGGCUUAACCUGGGAAUGGCAUUCAAGACUGGUUAGCUAGAGUCUUGUAGAGGGGGUAGAAUUCCAUGUGUAGCGGUGAAAUAGCGUAGAGAUGUGGAGGAAUACCGGUGGCGAAGGCGGGCCCCUCGGAGAAACAACGUCACGGCUCAUGUGCGAAAGACGUGGGGAGGGCAAACAAGGAGUUAUAGACCCUU
Molecule: ribosomal RNA, 467 nt
Filed under: uncultured bacterium
Lineage: Bacteria
Description: bacterial SSU rRNA
Rfam family: Bacterial small subunit ribosomal RNA
Source: RNAcentral